RNAcentral lists this ribosomal RNA (633 nucleotides) under Dendroceratida sp. 3 JV-2020. Its description in RNAcentral is "partial large subunit ribosomal RNA". It matches the Rfam family "Eukaryotic large subunit ribosomal RNA", at positions 356 to 789 of the family's 3401-position model. Lineage: Eukaryota; Metazoa; Porifera; Demospongiae; Dendroceratida. The record is from RNAcentral.
AGGGAAAGUUGAAAAGCACUUUGAAAAGAGAGUCAAAUAGUACGUGAAACCGUCGGGAGGGAAACGAACGAGGUUGGUGCGGUGACCGUGCGGUUCAGUCGCGGCCGAAGGGAGCGGCGGCGAGCGUAGAUCGCUCCCGUUCGCGUCGAACGGAGGCCGAGACGUACUCCGCGCGGACACGGACCAGUGGCGGUCGGGCUCGGGGCAAACAAGGCGUCGUGGGAGGUAGGCCGGCUGCGGAUUCCGUCCGCUCUGGCAACGUACAGCCAAGACGAUCCGGCGCCCGGGCCUGGCCGAGGAAGGUGGGCAGCUCUUGCCCGUUGAGGUGCACGCCGUAUGGCGGGGCCUCCCCCCGAGAGCAAACCGUCCCUUCGGGACUGCGUGCAGUGCCGAUUGCGGCGGGGAACCCGUUCGGGGAAGAGUGCCACGUGUGCGCCAGUGCUGCUGGUAUUUGGACGGCCUCGUCCGACCCGUCUUGAAACACGGACCAAGGAGUGCAACAUGUGCGCGAGCCCUUUGGCGAGAAAACCAGAAGGCGCAAUGAAAGUGAAGGCACGGCCGCCGUGCUGAGGUGAGAGCCGCAAGGCGCAUCAUCGACCGAUCCCAUCCGAGCCGCUCGCGGCGCGGCGGGAU